UACCAGCUCUCCGAGUGGUAGGGAUGAUUAUUGGGCUUAAAGCGUCCGAAGCCGGCUUAGCAAGUUUCCUGUUAAAUUCAGCGACCUAAUCGUUGAGCCGCGGGAAAUACUACUAGGCUAGGAGGCGGGAGAGGUCGACGGUACUUCUGGGGUAGGGGUGAAAUCCUAUAAUCCCGGGAGGACCACCAGUGGCGAAGGCUGUCGACUAGAACGCGCUCGACGGUGAGGGACGAAAGCUGGGGGAGCGAACCGAAUUAGAUACCCGGGUAGUCCCAGCUGUAAACGAUGCGGGCUAGGUGUUGGGGUGGCUACGUGCCACUUCAGUGCCGCAGGGAAGCCAUUAAGCCCGCCGCCUGGGGAGUACGGCCGCAAGGCUGAAACUUAAAGGAAUUGGCGGGGGAGCACCACAAGGCGUGAAGCUUGCGGUUC
This 429-nucleotide ribosomal RNA is filed under the name uncultured archaeon. Its description in RNAcentral is "bacterial SSU rRNA". It matches the Rfam family "Archaeal small subunit ribosomal RNA", at positions 474 to 903 of the family's 1478-position model. The record is from RNAcentral.